UAUAGUUUAGUGGUAAA
This 17-nucleotide transfer RNA is filed under the name Cereus fernambucensis subsp. fernambucensis. Its description in RNAcentral is "partial tRNA-Gly". The record is from RNAcentral. Lineage: Eukaryota; Viridiplantae; Streptophyta; Magnoliopsida; Caryophyllales; Cactaceae. RNAcentral also lists the same sequence under 1 other name.